Trichuris suis (pig whipworm) is the source of this 114-nucleotide non-coding RNA. Lineage: Eukaryota; Metazoa; Nematoda; Enoplea; Trichinellida; Trichuridae. The record is from Rfam.
GUGGGCUACGGCGAUCUUGUACCUGUUGCGCCUAUAGGUAAGCUUGUUGGUUCCUUGUGCGCCAUUGUUGGCGUGCUAGUUCUUGCCCUUCCCGUACCUGUCAUAGUGGCCAAU